CCCUUAGAGUUUGAUCCUGGCUCAGAUUGAACGCUGGCGGCGUGCCUAACACAUGCAAGUCGAGCGGUAACAGGCGUAGCAAUACGUGCUGACGAGCGGCGGACGGGUGAGUAAUGCUUGGGAAUCUUCCUAGUAGUGGGGAAUAACCAACCGAAAGGUUGGCUAAUACCGCAUACGUCCUACGGGAGAAAGCGGGGGAUCGUAAGACCUCGCGCUAUUGGAUGAGCCCAAGUCGGAUUAGCUAGUUGGCGGGGUAACGGCCCACCAAGGCGACGAUCCGUAGCUGGUCUGAGAGGACGACCAGCCACACCGGAACUGAGACACGGUCCGGACUCCUACGGGAGGCAGCAGUGGGGAAUAUUGGACAAUGGGGGAAACCCUGAUCCAGCGACGCCGCGUGUGUGAAGAAGGCCUGCGGGUUGUAAAGCACUUUUAGUGGGGAUGAAAAGUUCGGGGCUAAUAAUCCCGGAUCUUGACCUAACCCAAAGAAAAAGCACCGGCUAACUCUGUGCCAGCAGCCGCGGUAAUACAGAGGGUGCGAGCGUUAAUCGGAAUUACUGGGCGUAAAGCGAAC
RNAcentral lists this ribosomal RNA (574 nucleotides) under uncultured bacterium. Its description in RNAcentral is "bacterial SSU rRNA". It matches the Rfam family "Bacterial small subunit ribosomal RNA", at positions 1 to 570 of the family's 1533-position model. The record is from RNAcentral.